This 386-nucleotide long non-coding RNA is filed under the name Rattus norvegicus (Norway rat). Its description in RNAcentral is "long non-coding RNA NONRATT010806". Lineage: Eukaryota; Metazoa; Chordata; Mammalia; Rodentia; Muridae. The record is from RNAcentral.
CCAGGCCUUGGGAAGAGACCCUUUCAGAACUACAGGAGAGCAGAGAGCAUGCUUGAGGGCUGAUGCUGGUAGAUGACCUGUGACCUCCACACGCGUGGACACAGGAAUAUUAACAGCCAUGACAGAGGAGAUGUGAAGAAAGUGACCGAGGCGGAGACAGAGUUUAGAUAAAACCGCAGGACUGUAAAAGUCUCCUGGGGAGGGGGGAAGUGUCACUUUAUGAAUUGGUCUUUAAUGAAUGUUUUUGUUCGUGCCGUAGAACGUGGCUUAAAUCAGAAGGACGCGUCUACACCAAAUUCAGAUCACCUUUCAGUGAAAGGAAUCACAUCAUCUGAAGCAGGUGACGGUCAGACGGGUCAGCCGCAGCACGACGUGCCGUAUUUCAG